Molecule: ribosomal RNA, 1522 nt
Filed under: Salmonella enterica subsp. enterica serovar Infantis
Lineage: Bacteria; Pseudomonadati; Pseudomonadota; Gammaproteobacteria; Enterobacterales; Enterobacteriaceae
Also listed under: 2 other names
Description: bacterial SSU rRNA
Rfam family: Bacterial small subunit ribosomal RNA
Source: RNAcentral
AGAGUUUGAUCAUGGCUCAGAUUGAACGCUGGCGGCAGGCCUAACACAUGCAAGUCGAACGGUAACAGGAAGCAGCUUGCUGCUUCGCUGACGAGUGGCGGACGGGUGAGUAAUGUCUGGGAAACUGCCUGAUGGAGGGGGAUAACUACUGGAAACGGUGGCUAAUACCGCAUAACGUCGCAAGACCAAAGAGGGGGACCUUCGGGCCUCUUGCCAUCAGAUGUGCCCAGAUGGGAUUAGCUUGUUGGUGAGGUAACGGCUCACCAAGGCGACGAUCCCUAGCUGGUCUGAGAGGAUGACCAGCCACACUGGAACUGAGACACGGUCCAGACUCCUACGGGAGGCAGCAGUGGGGAAUAUUGCACAAUGGGCGCAAGCCUGAUGCAGCCAUGCCGCGUGUAUGAAGAAGGCCUUCGGGUUGUAAAGUACUUUCAGCGGGGAGGAAGGUGUUGUGGUUAAUAACCGCAGCAAUUGACGUUACCCGCAGAAGAAGCACCGGCUAACUCCGUGCCAGCAGCCGCGGUAAUACGGAGGGUGCAAGCGUUAAUCGGAAUUACUGGGCGUAAAGCGCACGCAGGCGGUCUGUCAAGUCGGAUGUGAAAUCCCCGGGCUCAACCUGGGAACUGCAUUCGAAACUGGCAGGCUUGAGUCUUGUAGAGGGGGGUAGAAUUCCAGGUGUAGCGGUGAAAUGCGUAGAGAUCUGGAGGAAUACCGGUGGCGAAGGCGGCCCCCUGGACAAAGACUGACGCUCAGGUGCGAAAGCGUGGGGAGCAAACAGGAUUAGAUACCCUGGUAGUCCACGCCGUAAACGAUGUCUACUUGGAGGUUGUGCCCUUGAGGCGUGGCUUCCGGAGCUAACGCGUUAAGUAGACCGCCUGGGGAGUACGGCCGCAAGGUUAAAACUCAAAUGAAUUGACGGGGGCCCGCACAAGCGGUGGAGCAUGUGGUUUAAUUCGAUGCAACGCGAAGAACCUUACCUGGUCUUGACAUCCACAGAAGAAUCCAGAGAUGGAUUUGUGCCUUCGGGAACUGUGAGACAGGUGCUGCAUGGCUGUCGUCAGCUCGUGUUGUGAAAUGUUGGGUUAAGUCCCGCAACGAGCGCAACCCUUAUCCUUUGUUGCCAGCGGUCCGGCCGGGAACUCAAAGGAGACUGCCAGUGAUAAACUGGAGGAAGGUGGGGAUGACGUCAAGUCAUCAUGGCCCUUACGACCAGGGCUACACACGUGCUACAAUGGCGCAUACAAAGAGAAGCGACCUCGCGAGAGCAAGCGGACCUCAUAAAGUGCGUCGUAGUCCGGAUUGGAGUCUGCAACUCGACUCCAUGAAGUCGGAAUCGCUAGUAAUCGUGGAUCAGAAUGCCACGGUGAAUACGUUCCCGGGCCUUGUACACACCGCCCGUCACACCAUGGGAGUGGGUUGCAAAAGAAGUAGGUAGCUUAACCUUCGGGAGGGCGCUUACCACUUUGUGAUUCAUGACUGGGGUGAAGUCGUAACAAGGUAACCGUAGGGGAACCUGCGGUUG